UGUGAGAGGGGGACGGGGGUGGGCGAGGGGCCGGGGAGGCUAAGGGGCGGGGCGCGCGGCGCUGCCGCUACGAGGCGGGGAGGGGCGACGACGGGCACGGGCCGCGGAGGCGGAGGCGCUGCCGCCGGGGCGGGCCGUCCCGGCGGUCGUACGCCUACAAGGUGCCGCUGCACAAGGAGCCGCUCCGCCUGCAGAAGGGCUAGUUCGGGCCCGGGCUCCCGCGGGACGGGAAGGGGUCGUUGCUCUAGGCGUAGUCGGUGGAGAGCGGCCGGUCGCUCGCGACGGGCGGGGAGCGGUAGGACGUCUGGUAGCGCGGGAAGAGGCACGCGACGUUCGAGGUCCGGUCCGGCGAGGGAGGGGUGAGGUCGGAGGUGGCGGAGAUGGAGUGGACGAAGUUGCUCAUGUUCUCGCGCCACCACCACCAGCCUCUGCUCCUCGACGUGGACCACCGUUACGGCUCGUUCCACCUCUUCCACGGCACGAAGACCACGACGAGACACGCCCGACCCGAGAUACGUCGCAGGCACCCCUACGAGUUGGAGGCGACGGAACGAUAACACAAACUAGAACUACUCUGGGAGUAGCAACGAUUGUGCUACUCCAGGAAACUCUCGGCCUAGCUCUACGAAAGGGCAUCCUACCUGUAACUCCUACUGGGACAGUCCCAUCGCCCCUACAGACGUCUUUAGUUCGCCAUAUAACUCCUGUCCCUCGAAGAGUUCCUCAAGUAACUGUGUCUGUGACAAUGUCUGUUACCGUCUUAACAACCGUGGGUCUUCCUCCUCCAAGUCGGAUACGGACCACAGGUCCUCGCAGAACAAGCCGGACAUUAGUCCAACGGGCUCUCCUUACGAUAAGACUGGGCGUAGUUAGGUCUCUAAGCGCUAUGGUCACAAAAACACUUCGAUUCCGGACGGACCCUCCUAAACUCUUCAAUGGAUUGACGGUUCCCUGCGUUUUCUAAACUCCAGAUACACACAUGUUACCGACUUUCUCUAAUACGAGAACUCUAUACCUCUGAAGAACUAGGUCUUCGGUUAAACUAGUCGAACUUAUUAGAAAGUCUAGCACAUCAUACACAUUUUCGUCCAAGGUUCUUCAGGGACGUCGUACAAAAAUCUCUUCCUCCUACGGUAGGUUUCUACCGGUACCACUAACUACUAUCCGACGUUCAAACCCUACUCUUUCUAGUCGUAGCUCAAGUACAGCAGGGACGGAUACGAGGUAUGAUACGGGGUGUUCGGCUCUACCGUUUGCGACAAGGUCACGAGACACAACGCUCUUUACAACGAACGUUACAAGCACCACCAAAGAAGUCCCUUAAACUACUUUUAGAUGACUUCUUUCAUAAACUUGAUAACAUGCUUUUACUCAAUGACCUAGAAGGGAUACGAGGUCUACAGCCACUGAUGAAUCAGAGGCUCCUGGGAUUAAAAGGUGGUUCGUUAUUUCUAGGACGGGGAUAUGGACUCCCAUACUCACCUUGACUUCAUCUCUUCUCUAACUUACCCGCCCGUAUAGUCCCCCUGGUUUUUGUCUAUAGCAGUAGUUAGGCAGGUAGUCUACUACGUGCUCACCGUUAGGCCCCUUGAGAUCCGUCAAGUUUACACGUUGGGUUACCCCCGAGUUACCGUUAACAGGGAAGAAACAAACAGUGCCAUAACGUUCUUUAACCUGCUGAUACGUUAAGCUUCCACCUCAAAUCCAGAUGACAUUCGUGGUCGUUUUAAUGUGUUAAAAGACAACUCCAAGAUAAAUCAUUACUUUUUUAACCUUUACCGUAACCUUUUUGUUCUCUACUUCGAGUUCAUGUUCGACGACUUUUUCGAGAGGUUUUAAACGUUUCGUUAAUGAACAGUAUACAACGAGGAUAGCGACCUCAAGAAUUGUUUCUGUGUUCGUUCAGAAGAUCCUUACCUUUACCGAAAGACCUUCUGCUAGACCUAAGUCUACCACUAUGACGGUACGUUCUUGGUAGACCUUCAUUUAGUCUUGUCUUCCUAGUAAGUUUACACCUAUCCAACGGGAGACAUAAUUCAGAAUAAUCUCUUGAAACGAACCUCCUAGUUGUACAUCAUAAAGCUCUAGUUCAAGCCUUAGGACCGAGUCGUUGGUUACUUCUUAUGGUAAAGGUCAAGAGUAGACACGCCGACACGGGUCAUGGACAGAAACCGACCUGCGGCCACCCACGACGGUCAUAACCAUUUACUAGGCGACCCAGACGAUUUCCCAACGUCAUAUUCGGUCUUCCGGCUGCUGGAAAAGUGACUUUGUUUGACCACAGAAGUUUCAACCUGGUUUGGCCAAAGUCUAAGGUUGAAAGAAAGUUGGACCGAAUAUGACGAAAAAUAAACAACCAAGGUGGACUAACGGUACGGAAGUUUGAAAUUUAUAAAAUUAGGAAUGAACUUUUAAUAUGAAGGGUCACUCAGGUAUCAUUUGGUUUAACUAAAACUAUCAGAGAUUAUUCGUAAACAUACAUGGAAGACACUCGAACAAUUACGUCGAUUGUAACGUCAACAAUUAUAAAACUUCCAACUUGAUCGCCCUGUCUAAGAACCCUUACCAUAACCACACUUGUUUCUAAAGCGCUUCGAAGUCCGCCGUCUUCUCCGCGACUCCAAGAACUUUUGUUGGUGACUGGGUGUCUAAUUCUUCGUAAACUCUGGUUAUUCUACGUCGUCAACUAAAGAAGUGGGAGACCGGGGUUAGUUUACUCAACUUUCUUUCACCUUACACCUUAGUUAGGGAGUCGGUAAUCGUGUGGAAAUCGGAAGCCUAUCCGUUGAAAACCUUCACCGUAAUGCCUCUCGCCCUGCACCACGAGGCAGCUUAGAACACUGGUGGAAGCGGCCUCUUAGAAGAGCCUCUGAUAAAACGGAGGCCCGUUGAUGUUGACGUCGGCAUCAGUAGAGCCAUCCUACGACCGCAUCAACCGACAUUUGUCCAUCCUUACAUCCUAAUCAGCACUUAUCAUUGACAAACGAACAUUUAACAAGUCCCCGUAACUUUGACCUUACGAGCACGACUAAAGUUUCAAAUAUACAAGUAUUCGCCACCACUACAAGAGACAGCUAGCACGAACACGACUAAAACCUAGCGUGUCCUCCGUUUGAACCAGAUUCGAGGAAUGUUAGAUUCCACGAAUCUUUUUAUUUAACAAAAAGUUCGUGAUCACGAGUAGAGAA
RNAcentral lists this ribosomal RNA (3188 nucleotides) under Triticum aestivum (bread wheat). RNAcentral describes it as "partial small subunit ribosomal RNA". Lineage: Eukaryota; Viridiplantae; Streptophyta; Magnoliopsida; Poales; Poaceae. The record is from RNAcentral.